RNAcentral lists this ribosomal RNA (984 nucleotides) under human gut metagenome. RNAcentral's name for it is "bacterial LSU rRNA". It matches the Rfam family "Bacterial large subunit ribosomal RNA", at positions 1946 to 2925 of the family's 2925-position model. The record is from RNAcentral.
CGGUCCUAAGGUAGCGAAAUUCCUUGUCGGGUAAGUUCCGACCUGCACGAAUGGCAUAAUGAUGGCCACACUGUCUCCUCCCGAGACUCAGUGAAGUUGAAAUGUUUGUGAUGAUGCAAUCUCCCCGCGGCUAGACGGAAAGACCCCAUGAACCUUUACUGUAGCUUUGCAUUGGACUUUGAACCGAUUUGUGUAGGAUAGGCGGGAGGCAGAGAAAGCGCAACGCCAGUUGUGCCGGAGCCGACGUUGAAAUACCGCCCUGAUUUGUUUGAGGUUCUAACCGCGACCCGUGAGCCGGGUCCGGGACCGUGCAUGGCAGGCAGUUUGACUGGGGCGGUCUCCUCCUAAAGGGUAACGGAGGAGUACAAAGGUACGCUAGGUACGGUCGGAAAUCGUGCUGAUAGUGCAAAGGCAAAAGCGUGCUUGACUGCGAGACCGACAAGUCGAGCAGAUGCGAAAGCAGGUCUUAGUGAUCCGGUGGCUCUGUAUGGAAGGGCCAUCGCUCAACGGAUAAAAGGUACUCCGGGGAUAACAGGCUGAUACCGCCCAAGAGUUCAUAUCGACGGCGGUGUUUGGCACCUCGAUGUCGGCUCAUCUCAUCCUGGGGCUGUAGCCGGUCCCAAGGGUAUGGCUGUUCGCCAUUUAAAGAGGUACGUGAGCUGGGUUUAAAACGUCGUGAGACAGUUUGGUCCCUAUCUGCCGUGGGCGCUGGAAGAUUGACGGGGGCUGCUCCUAGUACGAGAGGACCGGAGUGGACGCACCUCUGGUGUACCGGUUGUCACGCCAGUGGCAUCGCCGGGUAGCUAUGUGCGGAAGAGAUAACCGCUGAAAGCAUCUAAGCGGGAAACUUGCCUGAAGAUAAGUCUUCCCGGAGGCUAGACCUCCCUGAAGAGUCGUUCGAGACCAGGACGUUGAUAGGUCGGGUGUGUAAGCGUUGUGAGACGUUUAGCUAACCGAUACUAAUUGCUCGUGAGGCUUGAUCCU